This 93-nucleotide transfer RNA is filed under the name uncultured Rubrobacter sp. It matches the Rfam family "tRNA". From Rfam's summary of the family: Transfer RNA (tRNA) molecules are approximately 80 nucleotides in length. Their secondary structure includes four short double-helical elements and three loops (D, anti-codon, and T loops). Lineage: Bacteria; Bacillati; Actinomycetota; Rubrobacteria; Rubrobacterales; Rubrobacteraceae. RNAcentral also lists the same sequence under 1 other name. The record is from RNAcentral.
GGAGGAGUGGCCGAGUGGUUGAAGGCGGCACCCUGCUAAGGUGUUAUACCUCUCAACGGGGUAUCGAGGGUUCGAAUCCCUCCUCCUCCGCCA